AAGAACUUGCUCAAGAAGUUUGCCAAAAAACCAAAAUCCCAUCCAAGAUACCACAUUAGAUUUCAAUGUCAUGUCUUAUUGUAGACUCCUCUUGGUGGUGGUAGUUUCUCAGACCUUCCUUGUUUUUGAUGACCUUGACAGUUUGAAAAGUAGCAGUCAGAAAUAAUGUUUUGGUCUGAAGCUCUUUCUCUACGAUCUCACUUUACUUACAAACCAUCUAAGUUGGAAGUCCUGAUGAAGAAUACCUCAAAGAAAAUUAAGGAAGACCACAUAUGCUUAAGGACCCUGGAUGGCCUUCUCUGUCAAGCAUUCACAAAUUGCAGUGCACCUCCGAUGUGAAGCAAGAUAUCUAUAACCUGAAUUUGUAGCUUUCCAAGGUAUCUCUGACUUUAGACCUCUCAGCCUUCUAUGUAUAUUAGAAGACACCUCUUUUUGCUGAGCAGAAUGAGCACACAGAAGCCAACUUACAGAAGAGCACUGUACAAAUGAAGCAUCUUUUGAUGUCUCAACAGAUCUUGAGUAAUGUGGUGCCAAUACAGUUUGUUCAAGACAAACAAAAUAUAGCUCUAGCUGAGAUUGAUCAGUUACUGACAAUGGUUGACUGUGGACCAUCACAUGAAUAAGACUUUAUACCAAAUGAUUUCAAGGAACUUGUGACUCUGAUCAGUGCAUUGUCAUCUGAUGCCAUGGAAUCUGCUGUGCACUCAGGUCUAUGUGGAAUCAAUCACGGGGUGCUCAACAAGCAAAUCAUGGGAUACAAAAG
RNAcentral lists this long non-coding RNA (763 nucleotides) under Homo sapiens (human). Its description in RNAcentral is "non-protein coding lnc-SLTM-4:1". The record is from RNAcentral. Lineage: Eukaryota; Metazoa; Chordata; Mammalia; Primates; Hominidae.